AUGGCUACCGUCGCCGCCGCCGCCCCCGAGCACAUCGAGGCGAUGGAGCAAGUUGAAGGGGAGGAGCAGGCGGCUAGAGCAGCCGCAGCCGCCGCCGCCGAUGACGUCGACGUGCCCACCGAUGCGACGGAGCAAGUUGGAGGGGAUGAGUCGGCGCCAGCCGCCGCCGCUGCUGACGAUGAUGCGGCCGAGCCGAUGGAGCAAGGCGAAGAGGAGGAGGCAACGGAGAUCGACGCGGAGGAGGAGGCGGAUGCUGGCGCCGAGGCGCACAUGGAGGCAUCGGAGCAGGCUGAAGAGGAGGAGCGGGAGGAGGUCCACGCGGUGGCGGUGGCGAAGGAGGAAGCGGAGGCCCAGCCGCUGCAGACGGUGCUCCCGCUGGGCAGGGUGAAGAGGAUCAUGCGGGUCGACAGCGAGAUAAAGAAGGUGACCGCCGAGGCGUCGCUGCUCGUCGCCGCGGCCACCGAGCUCUUCCUCGGCUCCCUCGCCGCCGGCGCCCACACGGCCGCAUCCCAAGGCGGCCGGCGGACGGUGCGCGCCGCGCACGUCCGGGCCGCGGUCCGCGCGCACCGCCCCACCGCCGACUUCCUCCUCGACUGCCUUCCAGCUGCUGCGGAGGCGGCGCCUCGCGUCGCCCGCUCCGGAUCCGAUGGUGCCGCCGCCGUCGCUGAAGCAGCAGUACCCAAGCCGCUGCCACGUGGGACCCGCCGCAUCGACGGAUUCUUCCAGAAGGUCACUUAG
RNAcentral lists this ribosomal RNA (738 nucleotides) under Triticum aestivum (bread wheat). Its description in RNAcentral is "partial small subunit ribosomal RNA". Lineage: Eukaryota; Viridiplantae; Streptophyta; Magnoliopsida; Poales; Poaceae. The record is from RNAcentral.